UGGGGAAUAUUGCGCAAUGGGGGAAACCCUGACGCAGCAACGCCGCGUGCGGGAUGAAGGCCUUCGGGUUGUAAACCGCUUUCAGCAGGGAAGAUAUAGACGGUACCUGCAGAAGAAGCCCCGGCUAACUACGUGCCAGCAGCCGCGGUAAUACGUAGGGGGCAAGCGUUAUCCGGAUUCAUUGGGCGUAAAGCGCGCGCAGGCGGCGCGUCAAGCGGGACCUUUAAUCUUAGGGCUCAACCUUAAGCAGGGUUUCGAACUGGCGUGCUCGAGUUAGGUAGGGGAGGUCGGAAUUCCCGGUGUAGCGGUGGAAUGCGCAGAUAUCGGGAAGAACACCGAUGGCGAAGGCAGACCUCUGGGCCUUAACUGACGCUCAGGCGCGAAAGCUGGGGGAGCGAACAGG
This 403-nucleotide ribosomal RNA is filed under the name uncultured bacterium. RNAcentral's name for it is "bacterial SSU rRNA". It matches the Rfam family "Bacterial small subunit ribosomal RNA", at positions 355 to 776 of the family's 1533-position model. The record is from RNAcentral.